GCUUAUCACAAAAAUAUAGUUUAUUCCAAUUUCAAAUCACUACCCCCCAAAAAAAUAAUUUUAAAACAAUUACUCAUCUUUUCCUAUGAUAGAUAAAAUAAGCCUGACAAAAUUAAAGGGGCCUUUCAUGCUACCCAGAAAGGAGUCCAUACGGCGUUUUCUGGGUUACUGUCUUAACUUAAAGGGAAACUUGCACAACGUCCAGAGCCUUUGAUGUCCCACAAAUGAAGGACGAGGGUAUCCUCAAAUUCUUGGCAAGAGGAACCCACUUAGGCAGCACCAACCUUGAUUUCCAAAUGGAACAGUCAUCUACUAAGGAAAAAGUGGUGGCAUUACCUCAAAUAUCUGAAGAGAACCUGGGAGAAGCUUCUGUUGGCAUCUUGUGCCAUUGUCUCCACUGAAAAUCUGGCUGACAUCAGUGUCACAUCCUCCAGAAUACUGGCCAGUGAGUUGUGCUGAAGUUCACUGCUGCUGUCAUUGGAGCCACUACUACUGUUGGCCACAGCACUCCUGGAAGCUUCCCUGAUGGGAUCCAGGCAGCUCCGGCAGCCGUGUCUUCCGGGAGUCGUGUCUUCCGGGAGUACUGAUCCCACGGCUGACCGCCAGCUUCGCACAGGGGCACCUUAUGUUAACCUGCCCACCAUCUCAGUGUGUAACACAGACACUGCUCAGUGCUACGCGGGUAUUGUCAUCCCGGGCCACAACCGGGGAGCUCGCUCAGUUAGGUGUGAAGUAGGGGUUGCUGGCUAGGGAAGUUCUGCGCAUGCGCAGCUCCAUGUCCCGUGAGCAUUCGGGAGAGGUCAUGCGUGAUCUCCUUCUACAGAGCUCCCGAAGAGAGGAAAAGGAAGAGUAGGCUGCUGCUGAAAAGGCUGCCACCAAGGAGGAAUUCCAGAGUGAAUGGACCCCUCCGGCUCCCAAGUUCACUGCUUCUUAACCUGAGGUCGCAGCCGGGUCAGGUGGCACGUAGGUGCCCUCUGUGUCUAUUCAGCGGUUGCCUCCUGCGGACCGGAUGGAGCCUCAGCCUGUCACUGAGGACUGGUCUGCAGCUCCUACUGCUCGGGCCUUUCUGGAGUAAAUGAACAUUUAGACAUGGCGAAGCAACUGUAUUUGAAGAAAAGAAGAAAAGUGAAGGCAAUACUUGGCAUAAGGAGAGGAAGAAUGAGAAGGAUGUCCAAAGAAGGAGCCAGAAAGGAAAGAGGAGAAGAAAGGCAAGGAAGACUUGGUCAAUGUGGCAGGUGUGGAAGAAAGAGAGAGAAGAGAGGGGAUGUUAGCCCAUAAAAAGGAGACACUGGCACAGACCGUCCAGGACUCUGUCGUUUCCAACCUGCAUUCAAGUUGCAGAAAUUGCAAAGAAAAUUUAACUCUGGUGCAUAUGAGUCCUUUUAUUGUUAAACUCUUUAGCUACCUUCAUGAAGAAAAUACUACAUUCAAAUAAGAAGAUAAGAGAAAAGAAAAGGUACACUUCUGUUUAUAUAAUUUCAAGUUUACAAAAAAUAAAAGAAAAUCAUGCCAAUAACUCUCCACAAAGGAAACGAUUUCAGAUGAAUACAGGUAAUUAGAAGUGUCAAGAAAUCAGCAAAGUAGGGUGUCUGCCAUCAUUUCUGCGGAAAGAGUGCCAGAUUCUCUUUCAAAAAGGUCUUUGUCAUUUUUU
Molecule: long non-coding RNA, 1651 nt
Organism: Equus caballus (horse)
Lineage: Eukaryota; Metazoa; Chordata; Mammalia; Perissodactyla; Equidae
Source: Ensembl